CUCGGAUCAGGUAGGGAUACCGCUGACUUAAGCAUAUCAU
This 40-nucleotide ribosomal RNA is filed under the name Anguillospora filiformis. Its description in RNAcentral is "partial 28S ribosomal RNA". The record is from RNAcentral. Lineage: Eukaryota; Fungi; Ascomycota.